UGCGUAGGGUGCGAGCGUUAAUCGGAAUUACUGGGCGUAAAGCGUGCGCAGGCGGUUUGGUAAGACAGAUGUGAAAUCCCCGGGCUUGACCUGGGAACUGCAUUUGUGACUGCCAGACUAGAGUGUAGCAGAGGGGGGUAGAAUUCCACGUGUAGCAGUGAAAUGCGUAGAGAUGUGGAGGAAUACCGAUGGCGAAGGCAGCCCCCUGGGCUAACACUGACGCUCAUGCACGAAAGCGUGGGGAGCAAACAGGAUUAGAUACCCUGGUAGUCCACGCCCUAAACGAUGUCAACUAGGUGUUGGGGAAGGAGACUUCUUUAGUACCGCAGCUAACGCGUGAAGUUGACCGCCUGGGGAGUACGGUCGCAAGAUUAAAACUCAAAGGAAUUGACGGGGACCCGCACAAGCGGUGGAUUAUGUGGAUUAAUUCGAUGCAACGCGAAAAACCUUACCUACCCUUGACAUGUCAGGAAGAUUCCAGAGAUGGGAUUGUGCCCGAAAGGGAACCUGAACACAGGUGCUGCAUGGCUGUCGUCAGCUCGUGUCGUGAGAUAUUGGGUUAAGUCCCGCAACGAGCGCAACCCUUGUCAUUAAUUGCCAUCAUUUAGUUGGGCACUUUAAUGAGACUGCCAGUGAUAAACCGGAGGAAGGUGGGGAUGACGUCAAGUCCUCAUGGCCCUUAUGGGUAGGGCUUCACACGUAAUACAAUGGUCGGUACAGAGGGUUGCCAACCCGCGAGGGGGAGCUAAUCUCAGAAAGCCGAUCGUAGUCCGGAUCGGAGUCUGCAACUCGACUCCGUGAAGUCGGAAUCGCUAGUAAUCGCGGAUCAGCAUGUCGCGGUGAAUACGUUCCCGGGUCU
This 859-nucleotide ribosomal RNA is filed under the name uncultured bacterium. RNAcentral describes it as "bacterial SSU rRNA". It matches the Rfam family "Bacterial small subunit ribosomal RNA", at positions 524 to 1381 of the family's 1533-position model. The record is from RNAcentral.